CCCUUAGAUGUUCUGGGCCGCACGCGCGCUACGCUGAUUCAUGCAACAAGUUUUGUCCUUGGCUGAUAGGCCUGGGUAAUCUUUGAACGUGAAUCGUGAUGGGGAUAGAUGAUUGCAAUUAUUCAUCUUCAACGAGGAAUUCCUAGUAAACGCAAGUCAUCAGCUUGCAUUGAUUACGUCCCUGCCCUUUGUACACACCGCCCGUCGCACCUACCGAUUGAAUGGUCCGGUGAAAUCUUCGGAUCUGAGAGAUGUCUGAUUAAUUUCGGACGCCUUUUGGAAAAGUUGUUUAAACCUUACCAUUUAGAGGAAGGUGAAGUCGUANCA
RNAcentral lists this ribosomal RNA (327 nucleotides) under uncultured eukaryote. RNAcentral's name for it is "partial 18S ribosomal RNA". It matches the Rfam family "Eukaryotic small subunit ribosomal RNA", at positions 1470 to 1796 of the family's 1831-position model. The record is from RNAcentral.